GUGCUCACUUCAGCAGCCCAGAGACUAAAAUUGGAACAACACAGGGAAGAUUAGCAUUGCUCCCUAUGGAUGGCAUGCAAAUUCAUGAAGUGUCCCAUAUAACU
Small nuclear RNA from Vulpes vulpes (red fox), 104 nucleotides. NCBI's taxonomy places the organism in Eukaryota, Metazoa, Chordata, Mammalia, Carnivora, Canidae. The record is from Ensembl.